This 301-nucleotide ribosomal RNA is filed under the name uncultured bacterium. RNAcentral describes it as "partial 16S ribosomal RNA". It matches the Rfam family "Bacterial small subunit ribosomal RNA", at positions 509 to 807 of the family's 1533-position model. The record is from RNAcentral.
CAGCAGCCGCGGUAAUACGAAGGGGGCUAGCGCUGUUCGGAAUUACUGGGCGUAAAGCGCACGUAGGCGGAUAUUUAAGUCAGGGGUGAAAUCCCGCAGCUCAACUGCGGAACUGCCUUUGAUACUGGGUAUCUUGAGUAUGGAAGAGGUUAGUGGAAUUGCGAGUGUAGAGGUGAAAUUCGUAGAUAUUCGCAGGAACACCAGUGGCGAAGGCGGCUAACUGGUCCAUAACUGACGCUGAGGUGCGAAAGCGUGGGGAGCAAACAGGAUUAGAUACCCCCGUAGUCUCUGUCUCUUAUAC